Molecule: ribosomal RNA, 484 nt
Filed under: uncultured bacterium
Lineage: Bacteria
Description: partial 16S ribosomal RNA
Rfam family: Bacterial small subunit ribosomal RNA
Source: RNAcentral
AUUGAACGCUGGCGGCAGGCCUAACACAUGCAAGUCGAGCGGAUGAAGGGAGCUUGCUCCUGGAUUCAGCGGCGGACGGGUGAGCAAUGCCUAGGAAUCUGCCUGGUAGUGGGGGAUAACGUCCGGAAACGGGCGCUAAUACCGCAUACGUCCUGAGGGAGAAAGUGGGGGAUCUUCGGACCUCACGCUAUCAGAUGAGCAUAGGUCGGAUUAGCUAGUUGGUGGGGUAAAGGCCUACCAAGGCGACGAUCCGUAACUGGUCUGAGAGGAUGAUCAGUCACACUGGAACUGAGACACGGCCCAGACUCCUACGGGAGGCAGCAGUGGGGAAUAUUGGACAAUGGGCGAAAGCCUGAUCCAGCCAUGCCGCGUGUGUGAAGAAGGUCUUCGGAUUGUAAAGCACUUUAAGUUGGGAGGAAGGGCAGUAAGUUAAUACCUUGCUGUUUUGACGUUACCAACAGAAUAAGCACCGGCUAACUUCGUG